RNAcentral lists this transfer RNA (85 nucleotides) under Erysipelothrix sp. RNAcentral describes it as "tRNA-Leu". It matches the Rfam family "tRNA". From Rfam's summary of the family: Transfer RNA (tRNA) molecules are approximately 80 nucleotides in length. Lineage: Bacteria; Bacillati; Bacillota; Erysipelotrichia; Erysipelotrichales; Erysipelotrichaceae. The record is from RNAcentral.
GCACCAGUGGCGGAAUUGGUAGACGCGCACGCUUGAGGGGCGUGUGGCAUAUGCUGUGUGAGUUCAAGUCUCGUCUGGUGCACCA